AUCACAAUUGUGAUUUCUAAAAACCACAUAAUGCUAUUCUUCACAUACUGCUUCUAGAAUAUGGGUUUUUGGCAUGCCUAAAACCAUGUGUUUUCCUAUUCGGAUUAUUAAUGUCAUUAAAAUUUAAGUGACCAAGUAUGUAAUUCCAUAACCAUUCAUCUUUACUAGCUACAAUCACUAGACACUUGUGUUUCAACACA
This 200-nucleotide long non-coding RNA is filed under the name Lathyrus oleraceus (garden pea). RNAcentral's name for it is "Pisum sativum (pea) long non-coding RNA (PSAT_LNC013994)". The record is from RNAcentral. Lineage: Eukaryota; Viridiplantae; Streptophyta; Magnoliopsida; Fabales; Fabaceae.